RNAcentral lists this ribosomal RNA (441 nucleotides) under uncultured bacterium. RNAcentral describes it as "partial 16S ribosomal RNA". It matches the Rfam family "Bacterial small subunit ribosomal RNA", at positions 338 to 795 of the family's 1533-position model. The record is from RNAcentral.
CCUACGGGAGGCUGCAGUGGGGGAUAUUGCACAAUGGGGGGAACCCUGAUGCAGCGACGCCGCGUGGGUGAAGGAGCGUUUCGGCGCGUAAAGCCCUAUCGGCAGGGAAGAAGGAGGACGGUACCUGACUAUGAAGCCCCGGCUAACUACGUGCCAGCAGCCGCAGUAAUACGUGGGGGGCAAGCGUUAUCCGGAUGUACUGGGGGUAAAGGAGGCGCAGACGGCAGCGCAAGGAAGGAGUGAAAGCCCAGGGCCACACCCCGGGACGGCUUGUGGAACUGGGCGGCGGGAGUGCAGGAGGGGCAGGCGGAAUUCCUGGUGUAGCGGUGAAAUGCGUAGAGAUCAGGAGGAACACCGGUGGCGAAGGCGGCCUGCUGGACUGCGACUGACGGUGAGGCCCGAGAGCGUGGGGAGCAAACAGGAUUAGAUACCCGUGUAGUC